CUACGGGUCGCUGCAGUGAGGAAUUUUGCGCAAUGGGCGAAAGCCUGACGCAGCAACGCCGCGUGAGUGACGAAGGCCUUCGGGUCGUAAAGCUCUGUCAAGUGGGAAGAACCCGCUUGUGUGCAAUAUGCGCAAGCGCUGACGGUACCACUGAAGGAAGCACCGGCUAACUCCGUGCCAGCAGCCGCGGUAAUACGGAGGGUGCGAGCGUUAUUCGGAAUUAUUGGGCGUAAAGGGCGCGCAGGCGGCCCGUCAAGUCAGAUGUGAAAGCCCGGGGCUCAACCUCGGAAGUGCAUUUGAUACUGUAGGGCUUGAGUAUGGGAGAGGGAAGUGGAAUUCCUGGUGUAGAGGUGAAAUUCGUAGAUAUCAGGAGGAACACCGGUGGCGAAGGCGACUUCCUGGACCAAUACUGACGCUGAGGCGCGAAGGCGUGGGGAGCAAACAGGAUUAGAUACCCGGGUAGUC
This 465-nucleotide ribosomal RNA is filed under the name uncultured bacterium. RNAcentral's name for it is "partial 16S ribosomal RNA". It matches the Rfam family "Bacterial small subunit ribosomal RNA", at positions 339 to 795 of the family's 1533-position model. The record is from RNAcentral.